RNAcentral lists this ribosomal RNA (445 nucleotides) under uncultured bacterium. RNAcentral describes it as "partial 16S ribosomal RNA". It matches the Rfam family "Bacterial small subunit ribosomal RNA", at positions 354 to 796 of the family's 1533-position model. The record is from RNAcentral.
GUGAGGAAUAUUGGUCAAUGGGCGAGAGCCUGAACCAGCCAAGUCGCGUGAAGGAAGAAGGAUCUAUGGUUCGUAAACUUCUUUUGCAGGGGAAUAAAGUGCAGGACGUGUCCUGUUUUGUAUGUACCCUGAGAAUAAGGAUCGGCUAACUCCGUGCCAGCAGCCGCGGUAAUACGGAGGAUCCGAGCGUUAUCCGGAUUUAUUGGGUUUAAAGGGUGCGUAGGUGGUUUGAUAAGUCAGCGGUGAAAGUUUGCAGCUUAACUGUAAAAAUGCCGUUGAAACUGUCGGACUUGAGUGUAAAUGAGGUAGGCGGAAUGCGUGGUGUAGCGGUGAAAUGCAUAGAUAUCACGCAGAACUCCGAUUGCGAAGGCAGCUUACUAAGCUACAACUGACACUGAAGCACGAAAGCGUGGGGAUCAAACAGGAUUAGAUACCCCGGUAGUCC